This 733-nucleotide ribosomal RNA is filed under the name Acinetobacter sp. JA17-2. RNAcentral describes it as "bacterial SSU rRNA". It matches the Rfam family "Bacterial small subunit ribosomal RNA", at positions 103 to 832 of the family's 1533-position model. The record is from RNAcentral. Lineage: Bacteria; Pseudomonadati; Pseudomonadota; Gammaproteobacteria; Moraxellales; Moraxellaceae.
CGGGUGAGUAAUGCUUAGGAAUCUGCCUAUUAGUGGGGGACAACAUUCCGAAAGGAAUGCUAAUACCGCAUACGCCCUACGGGGGAAAGCAGGGGAUCUUCGGACCUUGCGCUAAUAGAUGAGCCUAAGUCAGAUUAGCUAGUUGGUGGGGUAAAGGCCUACCAAGGCGACGAUCUGUAGCGGGUCUGAGAGGAUGAUCCGCCACACUGGGACUGAGACACGGCCCAGACUCCUACGGGAGGCAGCAGUGGGGAAUAUUGGACAAUGGGCGAAAGCCUGAUCCAGCCAUGCCGCGUGUGUGAAGAAGGCCUUUUGGUUGUAAAGCACUUUAAGCGAGGAGGAGGCUACCGAGAUUAAUACUCUUGGAUAGUGGACGUUACUCGCAGAAUAAGCACCGGCUAACUCUGUGCCAGCAGCCGCGGUAAUACAGAGGGUGCGAGCGUUAAUCGGAUUUACUGGGCGUAAAGCGUGCGUAGGCGGCUUUUUAAGUCGGAUGUGAAAUCCCUGAGCUUAACUUAGGAAUUGCAUUCGAUACUGGGAAGCUAGAGUAUGGGAGAGGAUGGUAGAAUUCCAGGUGUAGCGGUGAAAUGCGUAGAGAUCUGGAGGAAUACCGAUGGCGAAGGCAGCCAUCUGGCCUAAUACUGACGCUGAGGUACGAAAGCAUGGGGAGCAAACAGGAUUAGAUACCUGGUAGUCCAUGCCGUAAACGAUGUCUACUAGCCGUUGGGGCCUU